UUAUUUCUCCCCAAUUCUCAGUAACAUUCCUUUCCGAAGUUGCUUUUUCUACGAACAAGACAAUUAGUAACACAGACGAUAAAAAAAGUUUCGAAAGAGCCCGCUGUACCAUCUGAGCACGCGUUCUAUGAUGUCAUACUAAUCAAUGAUAGGAAAUACAAUUGUGUUGUCACCACUUGUCUUGGCACUUGGCACCACAAACACCGGUUCUGGCUAAAGGGUCUUGCCUGGAAAACAGAUGAGCAGAACUGUUUAAAUUUUUGCCAGAAACAUGACUUAGUGGGAUGCCUAUGAAAAAUAAUUUAACGUCUACAGUAUAGACGUUGUAAUUACAAUUUUUAUCUCAUAUCAAUAAAAUCAAAUUCAACGGAGCAAAAAA
Xenia sp. Carnegie-2017 is the source of this 379-nucleotide long non-coding RNA. RefSeq lists it as uncharacterized. The transcript is spliced from 2 exons. The record is from RefSeq and is a predicted model, not a curated record. Lineage: Eukaryota; Metazoa; Cnidaria; Anthozoa; Malacalcyonacea; Xeniidae.